GCUCGAGUGGCGAACGGGUGAGUAACACGUGAGUAACCUGCCCUUGACUUUGGGAUAACUUCAGGAAACUGGGGCUAAUACCGGAUAGGAGCUCCUGCUGCAUGGUGGGGGUUGGAAAGUUUCGGCGGUUGGGGAUGGACUCGCGGCUUAUCAGCUCGUUGGUGGGGUAGUGGCUUACCAAGGCUUUGACGGGUAGCCGGCCUGAGAGGGUGACCGGCCACAUUGGGACUGAGAUACGGCCCAG
This 244-nucleotide ribosomal RNA is filed under the name uncultured Actinomycetales bacterium. Its description in RNAcentral is "partial 16S ribosomal RNA". It matches the Rfam family "Bacterial small subunit ribosomal RNA", at positions 89 to 334 of the family's 1533-position model. The record is from RNAcentral. Lineage: Bacteria; Bacillati; Actinomycetota; Actinomycetes; Actinomycetales.